GUCAGGGACAUGCCAACGGGAACAAUUAAACGCUAUCCAUUGUUUUCACUAGACUAACAUUUACUGAACACAUAUUUGUCUGUGCCAGGCGCCGGGACCACGAAAAUGAACGAAACACAGGCCUGCCCAGUCCUUCGGAAUUCACCAUGCAAUGUAUUCAUAGGACCAGAGGAGACAGCCCCUGAUGCUACUCUGCUUGUACCCUGGUUCUUCCGGUGGAUGUCCCCUUCCCAGUGAGCCCUUCCCUGACCACCAUGCUUAAAAUGGAAACCCUCCCCCAUGGCUUGGAACUCUAUUCCCCUUCUCUCCUUCCUUCUUUUCCAAAGCACCCUCAUCAAAUACAGUAAAAUAUUGGUUUGCAAGCAUAAGUCGCUCCAGAAACAUGCUUGUAAUCCAAAGCACUUAUAUAUCAAAGGAAAUUUCAAGAAUCAUUGUUGUGAUCGCAUACUACUCAUAUGGCAAGACAUCGCUUGUUUAUCAAGUUAAAAUUUAUUAGAAAUGUGUGUUUGUCUUGCAGAACAUUCGCAGACCAAGUUACUUGAAAGCCAGGGUUUUCGAGUGUAUUAAAUAGGUGUAUUAAAUAGGUCUCCCUCCCCUCCCAGAAUGUAAGCUCCACGAGAGCAGAUUUUUCCAGUCUGUUCUGUUUACUGACAUGUUCCCUGUGCCUGAAACAGAGCCUUGUACAUAUUGGUUGGAUGAAUUAAAGAUAAUAAGAAUAAC
This is a long non-coding RNA of Leopardus geoffroyi (Geoffroy's cat), 720 nucleotides long. RefSeq lists it as uncharacterized. Lineage: Eukaryota; Metazoa; Chordata; Mammalia; Carnivora; Felidae. The record is from RefSeq and is a predicted model, not a curated record. The transcript is spliced from 2 exons.